GAUGAAGAACGGAGUGAAAUGCGAUAAGUAGUGUGAAUUGCAGAAUUCAGUGAAUCAUCGAAUCUUUGAACGCACAUUGCGCCCCUUGGUAUUCCAUGGGGCAUGCCUGUUCGAGCGUCAUUUGUACCUUCAAGCUUUGCUUAGUGUUGGGUGUUUGUCUCGCCUUUGCGUGUAGACUCGCCUUAAAAUAAUUGGCAGCCGGCGUAUUGAUUUCGGAGCGCAGUACAUCUCGCGCUUUGCACUCAUAACGACAGCGUCCAAAAGUACAUUUUACACUCUUGACCUCGGAUCAGGUAGGGAUACCCGCUGAACUUAAGCAUAUCAAUAAGCGGAGGA
This 336-nucleotide unclassified non-coding RNA is filed under the name soil metagenome. Its description in RNAcentral is "partial contains 5.8S ribosomal RNA, internal transcribed spacer 2, and large subunit ribosomal RNA". The stretch from base 1 to 120 matches the Rfam family "5.8S ribosomal RNA", at positions 35 to 154 of the family's 154-position model. The record is from RNAcentral.